This 637-nucleotide ribosomal RNA is filed under the name uncultured bacterium. RNAcentral's name for it is "partial 16S ribosomal RNA". It matches the Rfam family "Bacterial small subunit ribosomal RNA", at positions 1 to 669 of the family's 1533-position model. The record is from RNAcentral.
UAGAGUUUGAUCNUGGCUCAGANUGAANGNUGGNACCAGGUUUACACANAUGNNNCNCGCACGCUAACNUNAAGAAGCUUGCUUCUUUGAUGACGAGUGGNGGACGGGUGAGUAAUGCUUGGGAAUCUAGCUUAUGGAGGGNGAUAACUACGGGAAACUGUAGCUAAUACCGCGUAAUAUCGAAAGAUUAAAGUGUGGGACCUUCGGGCCACAUGCCAUAGGAUGAGCCCAAGUGGGAUUAGGUAGUUGGUGAGGUAAAGGCUCACCAAGCCGACGAUCUCUAGCUGGUCUGAGAGGAUGAUCAGCCACACUGGGACUGAGACACGGCCCAGACUCCUACGGGAGGCAGCAGUGGGGAAUAUUGCGCAAUGGGGGCAACCCUGACGCAGCCAUNCGCGUGAAUGAAGAAGNCCUUCGGUUUGUAAAGUUCUUUCGGUAGCGAGNAAGGCAUUUAGUUUAAUAAACUAGGUGAUUGACGUUNACUACAGAAGAAGCNCNGGCUAACUCNGUGCCAGCAGCCGCGUUAAUACGGAGGUGCAANCGUUAAUCGGAAUACUNGGCGUAAGGGCCGNAGGUGGUGANUAAGUNAGGGUGAANCCCCCGCUAACCUGGAAUNCAUUNAACUGGGNCCUAANUU